AAUCCGUCGACUUUAGAAAUCGUGAGGA
This 28-nucleotide transfer RNA is filed under the name Impatiens uncinata. RNAcentral's name for it is "partial tRNA-Leu". Lineage: Eukaryota; Viridiplantae; Streptophyta; Magnoliopsida; Ericales; Balsaminaceae. The record is from RNAcentral.